GAGGAUAUAGCUCAGUGGUAGAGCACGUGCUUAGCUUGCACGAGGUCCUGGCUUCAAUCCCCAGUACCUCCA
This 72-nucleotide transfer RNA is filed under the name Camelus bactrianus (Bactrian camel). It matches the Rfam family "tRNA". From Rfam's summary of the family: Transfer RNA (tRNA) molecules are approximately 80 nucleotides in length. Their secondary structure includes four short double-helical elements and three loops (D, anti-codon, and T loops). The record is from Rfam by way of RNAcentral. Lineage: Eukaryota; Metazoa; Chordata; Mammalia; Artiodactyla; Camelidae. RNAcentral also lists the same sequence under 3 other names.